Molecule: transfer RNA, 76 nt
Filed under: Salmonella enterica subsp. enterica serovar Newport
Lineage: Bacteria; Pseudomonadati; Pseudomonadota; Gammaproteobacteria; Enterobacterales; Enterobacteriaceae
Also listed under: 2 other names
Description: tRNA-Lys
Rfam family: tRNA
About the family: Transfer RNA (tRNA) molecules are approximately 80 nucleotides in length.
Source: RNAcentral
GUACCUUUAGCUCAGCUGGUAGAGCAACUGACUCUUAAUCAGUGGGUCCAGGGUUCGAAUCCCUGAAGGUGCACCA